CUGAUAAACAACAAAGGAAAACAUAUAUGCUGUUUCCUUAUAUCUGUGCCCGGGGCCACUUUCAAGAGACUACUCCCAGCAAAACACAUCCUUGCCCUAUGAUCAGAAAAGGGUCAGCAGAGCCUGAGAUCUCAGGAAUCCUCACCUUCAGCCAGGAGAGAAACAAGCAGGAGCCCAAAGGCAAAACUCCCGAUAAAGAGACCAGGCAGAUACACUCAAAACUCAGAUUCAUAGUCCGUUCAACAGGGAUCUGAUUUCCAAACUCCAAUCUAGCUCUCGGUGUGGGUGACUCACACAAUCCCAAGUAACGGAGAUUAUGGUGAACAGUGAAGCUGGAAGGAACCCAGAGGACGUGGAUGGCACAGCCACGCAGGCACCCGCAUCGGAUCUGGCCUGCUUUCCCCGGGUCUUUUUUUUUUUUUUUUUAAGAUUUUAUUAUUUAUUUAUGAGAGACACACACAGACAGGGGGGCAGAGACACGGGCAGAGGGAGAAGCAGGCUGCACGCAGGGAGCCCCGUGGAGAACUGGAACCCGGGAGUCCGGGAUCACGCCCUGGGCCAGGCGUCCCUCCCCCCUUCCCCGGGUCCUCUAGACCCGCCUCCCUGCCGUGCUGUUCGCGUUUCUCGGGACAUCAUCAAGUGGCACCAACAAGUCCCUAUCACACACCUGGCUGUGCGGUGCUGCUCGCUCACUGGGGAGCAGUGUCCCCUCCCGCGGGGAAGGCGGCUCAGGCACCGGCCCCAGGGGCACAGCUGCGGAGAUGGAGGCAGAGCCAGGAGGCUCGCUCGGGGAACCCGGCAGGGGUGGGGGUGGGGUGGGAGGGGAGGACCUGAUGAGAGGAGUUGGGGGCUGGGAUGGGGCGGGGCGGGGGGAGUCUGUCCCCAAAGCCCUCCCCUCCCGCGCUCUGGCCUCAGCCCAGCAGCCCGGACUUGCAGGCUGCGAUGGCAAACUGGGGAGUCAGCCUGUGUGAUAUUAUACAGGAAAAUGGCUCUUCACCACUGCACACAAGCAUGCCAAGGGGCAGGCUAUCUAGGAGAUGCCCCCUAAAGAUGACCAAAGGGAUGAGUGAAGAACAGUCUGGGAGAAAAGAAGAAGCGGUGGACUUCUCACAUAGCAGAAUUCCUCCCAGAAUCAAGAGUUGACUGAGUCAACAAAAAUACACAUUUGACUUUUUGCUUAGCUAAUUGUUGGGGAAUUUUUUCGAGAAAAACAUUGUUGGAAAUUACUGGAAAAUGUUAUUGGAAAGGUUAGGAGCCUAAAAAGCCUUUAGAUACCGGAACUGCUGGGAUCCCAAGGCCUUCUGAAGACAGAGAGGGUGGUCUUGGACUUGGCCCUGCCCGCUCAUGGGCUCAGAAUGGACAUGGCUACUGAUUAUUUUAUGUUUAGAAUUAAUUGAGGGCAGCCCCAGUGGCCCAGAGGUUUAGCACCACCUUCGGCCUGGGGUGUGAUCCUGGAGACCUGGGAUCAAGUCCCAAGUCUGGCUCCCUGCAUGGGGCCUGCUUCUCCCUCUGCCUGUGUCUCUGCCUCUCUCUCUGUGUCUGUCAUGAAUAAAUAAAAGUAAAAUAAAAUAAAAAUAUGUUUUUAAAAAAGAAGAAUUAAUUGAUUGCAGUAUGCUCGGCUUAAAAAGUUGUCAUGAACCUGGGGCGGGAGUAGAAGGCGUGUUGUUGUCCAUGUCCUGA
This 1680-nucleotide long non-coding RNA is filed under the name Canis lupus familiaris (dog). RNAcentral describes it as "lncRNA (ENSCAFG00845005280.1)". Lineage: Eukaryota; Metazoa; Chordata; Mammalia; Carnivora; Canidae. The record is from RNAcentral.